RNAcentral lists this ribosomal RNA (2927 nucleotides) under Escherichia coli. RNAcentral describes it as "23S ribosomal RNA". It matches the Rfam family "Bacterial large subunit ribosomal RNA". The record is from RNAcentral. Lineage: Bacteria; Pseudomonadati; Pseudomonadota; Gammaproteobacteria; Enterobacterales; Enterobacteriaceae.
GGGUUGUGAGGUUAAGCGACUAAGCGUACACGGUGGAUGCCCUGGCAGUCAGAGGCGAUGAAGGACGUGCUAAUCUGCGAUAAGCGUCGGUAAGGUGAUAUGAACCGUUAUAACCGGCGAUUUCCGAAUGGGGAAACCCAGUGUGUUUCGACACACUAUCAUUAACUGAAUCCAUAGGUUAAUGAGGCGAACCGGGGGAACUGAAACAUCUAAGUACCCCGAGGAAAAGAAAUCAACCGAGAUUCCCCCAGUAGCGGCGAGCGAACGGGGAGCAGCCCAGAGCCUGAAUCAGUGUGUGUGUUAGUGGAAGCGUCUGGAAAGGCGCGCGAUACAGGGUGACAGCCCCGUACACAAAAAUGCACAUGCUGUGAGCUCGAUGAGUAGGGCGGGACACGUGGUAUCCUGUCUGAAUAUGGGGGGACCAUCCUCCAAGGCUAAAUACUCCUGACUGACCGAUAGUGAACCAGUACCGUGAGGGAAAGGCGAAAAGAACCCCGGCGAGGGGAGUGAAAAAGAACCUGAAACCGUGUACGUACAAGCAGUGGGAGCACAGAGCAAUCUGUGUGACUGCGUACCUUUUGUAUAAUGGGUCAGCGACUUAUAUUCUGUAGCAAGGUUAACCGAAUAGGGGAGCCGAAGGGAAACCGAGUCUUAACUGGGCGUUAAGUUGCAGGGUAUAGACCCGAAACCCGGUGAUCUAGCCAUGGGCAGGUUGAAGGUUGGGUAACACUAACUGGAGGACCGAACCGACUAAUGUUGAAAAAUUAGCGGAUGACUUGUGGCUGGGGGUGAAAGGCCAAUCAAACCGGGAGAUAGCUGGUUCUCCCCGAAAGCUAUUUAGGUAGCGCCUCGUGAAUUCAUCUCCGGGGGUAGAGCACUGUUUCGGCAAGGGGGUCAUCCCGACUUACCAACCCGAUGCAAACUGCGAAUACCGGAGAAUGUUAUCACGGGAGACACACGGCGGGUGCUAACGUCCGUCGUGAAGAGGGAAACAACCCAGACCGCCAGCUAAGGUCCCAAAGUCAUGGUUAAGUGGGAAACGAUGUGGGAAGGCCCAGACAGCCAGGAUGUUGGCUUAGAAGCAGCCAUCAUUUAAAGAAAGCGUAAUAGCUCACUGGUCGAGUCGGCCUGCGCGGAAGAUGUAACGGGGCUAAACCAUGCACCGAAGCUGCGGCAGCGACGCUUAUGCGUUGUUGGGUAGGGGAGCGUUCUGUAAGCCUGCGAAGGUGUGCUGUGAGGCAUGCUGGAGGUAUCAGAAGUGCGAAUGCUGACAUAAGUAACGAUAAAGCGGGUGAAAAGCCCGCUCGCCGGAAGACCAAGGGUUCCUGUCCAACGUUAAUCGGGGCAGGGUGAGUCGACCCCUAAGGCGAGGCCGAAAGGCGUAGUCGAUGGGAAACAGGUUAAUAUUCCUGUACUUGGUGUUACUGCGAAGGGGGGACGGAGAAGGCUAUGUUGGCCGGGCGACGGUUGUCCCGGUUUAAGCGUGUAGGCUGGUUUUCCAGGCAAAUCCGGAAAAUCAAGGCUGAGGCGUGAUGACGAGGCACUACGGUGCUGAAGCAACAAAUGCCCUGCUUCCAGGAAAAGCCUCUAAGCAUCAGGUAACAUCAAAUCGUACCCCAAACCGACACAGGUGGUCAGGUAGAGAAUACCAAGGCGCUUGAGAGAACUCGGGUGAAGGAACUAGGCAAAAUGGUGCCGUAACUUCGGGAGAAGGCACGCUGAUAUGUAGGUGAAGUCCCUCGCGGAUGGAGCUGAAAUCAGUCGAAGAUACCAGCUGGCUGCAACUGUUUAUUAAAAACACAGCACUGUGCAAACACGAAAGUGGACGUAUACGGUGUGACGCCUGCCCGGUGCCGGAAGGUUAAUUGAUGGGGUUAGCGCAAGCGAAGCUCUUGAUCGAAGCCCCGGUAAACGGCGGCCGUAACUAUAACGGUCCUAAGGUAGCGAAAUUCCUUGUCGGGUAAGUUCCGACCUGCACGAAUGGCGUAAUGAUGGCCAGGCUGUCUCCACCCGAGACUCAGUGAAAUUGAACUCGCUGUGAAGAUGCAGUGUACCCGCGGCAAGACGGAAAGACCCCGUGAACCUUUACUAUAGCUUGACACUGAACAUUGAGCCUUGAUGUGUAGGAUAGGUGGGAGGCUUUGAAGUGUGGACGCCAGUCUGCAUGGAGCCGACCUUGAAAUACCACCCUUUAAUGUUUGAUGUUCUAACGUGGACCCGUAAUCCGGGUUGCGGACAGUGUCUGGUGGGUAGUUUGACUGGGGCGGUCUCCUCCUAAAGAGUAACGGAGGAGCACGAAGGUUGGCUAAUCCUGGUCGGACAUCAGGAGGUUAGUGCAAUGGCAUAAGCCAGCUUGACUGCGAGCGUGACGGCGCGAGCAGGUGCGAAAGCAGGUCAUAGUGAUCCGGUGGUUCUGAAUGGAAGGGCCAUCGCUCAACGGAUAAAAGGUACUCCGGGGAUAACAGGCUGAUACCGCCCAAGAGUUCAUAUCGACGGCGGUGUUUGGCACCUCGAUGUCGGCUCAUCACAUCCUGGGGCUGAAGUAGGUCCCAAGGGUAUGGCUGUUCGCCAUUUAAAGUGGUACGCGAGCUGGGUUUAGAACGUCGUGAGACAGUUCGGUCCCUAUCUGCCGUGGGCGCUGGAGAAUUGAGGGGGGCUGCUCCUAGUACGAGAGGACCGGAGUGGACGCAUCACUGGUGUUCGGGUUGUCAUGCCAAUGGCACUGCCCGGUAGCUAAAUGCGGAAGAGAUAAGUGCUGAAAGCAUCUAAGCACGAAACUUGCCCCGAGAUGAGUUCUCCCUGACUCCUUGAGAGUCCUGAAGGAACGUUGAAGACGACGACGUUGAUAGGCCGGGUGUGUAAGCGCAGCGAUGCGUUGAGCUAACCGGUACUAAUGAACCGUGAGGCUUAACCUUACAACGCCGAAG